UGCAGGCUGAUUCUUCACCCUCUGAGCCAUGGACUUUGGGGAUCACUUUUCAUGAGGUGAGGCAGCAUCCAUGCUGGUUUUCCCCCCAAACAUCCUCAUUCCUGGGCUGAGAAACCAUAGGUGAGUUCAAUCUCAGUGUUGUGUUUGGUCCCCCAAGGGAGUCCACCAGAGCACUCUGGGGAAAGAAGCCUGGACAGCUGGCCGCCGUGGCCUUUGCUCGUGUUCUGGCCUUGCCUCUCACAGAACUUCCCCUUGCCUGUUUCUUUCUCGGCCUCCACUUCCUGAAAGCCCUUCCUGGAGAACACACGGGCCCUUCCAAGGAAGGGUCACUGACACUGAGCUGGGAGGACGUGGAGCAACCGGGGAAGAACUCACAUCCCGAGAACACCUUACCCCAGGACCAACUUCCGGCUCAGCCGGAACCGGGAUGCCAGUGAUCCAGCGCCGAGGCGUGCAGCCUGCUUACUCCAGGGGAGGCUUCCCCUUCAGAGGCCCCAGGAAGGCGCUCAGAGAUCCCCCCACAGAGGCCCACACUCGGCAGGGACCCCCCGAGGCCUCUCCCCUCCUGCCACUCAGGGGACCUUUCCCUGGUUCUCUGUGUCUGCCGCCAACCAAGGCCGCAGCAGACCCCCGAAAAUUCCACCUCUGGAAUCUUCUCUUGGCCAAGAGCCAGAAAGUCUCACUUUAACUUCGGUUACUAAAAAUACAUUCUGUUUCCUCCCAGUCCUGUGCUUAAUUCAAGUAACUAAAAUGCUGCGCGUACACAGGUGCUAUUUUUAUUCCCACCUCCCUGGUGCCUGCCCUCCUCCCCUCCCAGUGUAGCUUUCCAACUCUGGGACUUACCCCCUCAGCCCAGCUGUUGCAAUGGAAAGAAUGAGAACUCUUUCUCCCCGUCAGAGGAGCCCUUGUUUCCAUAGCUGGGCUUCACUCCUCUUCCUGUCCCACCGGGCACUCCCAGGAUGAGGAUCGUGUGUAAAAAGGUGGGGGGAGGGGUGGACUUUGAUUUCUGUCCCAAAACACCAAGAGCUGUUGGAG
Molecule: long non-coding RNA, 1035 nt
Organism: Capra hircus (goat)
Lineage: Eukaryota; Metazoa; Chordata; Mammalia; Artiodactyla; Bovidae
Source: Ensembl